This is a long non-coding RNA of Gallus gallus (chicken), 1054 nucleotides long. The record is from Ensembl. Lineage: Eukaryota; Metazoa; Chordata; Aves; Galliformes; Phasianidae.
CUUUGCAUGAGGGUGGUAGCAUAUCAGCAAAGGAGCACAAUAAAAUUAUGCUAACUAUUAAGGCAGUGACUCAACCCAACAUGAACAAUUUACUGCAAAAUUAAAAUUGACAUCAUGACCAUAUGCAAUGUUCAGCCGACUAACACAGAUCUAGUUGCCAGGAAGAGCUGUGCUCUAAAAAAAUGACUACCAGCUGUUUCAUAUAUAUAUGCUGCUUUCCAUGAAAACUUGAUAGAAAUUCUGAAUAGCAUCUUUGGGAAGCAGAGCAUAAUUAAUGCAAAAAAGAAACAUUAGCAGAAACAAAAGCUAUUUUAUGGCAACCUUUGACUAUCUCCAACUCUUCUGAAAAGCCUGAGUUCCUAGAGUAAUGCAAAGGAAAGGCUUAUACAGCACUCACAGCAAAAGAACAACUCUGUAAACGUGCAGACCAUAAAGAGAGAGAAAUGAAAAUAAAAGCAAAAAAUUAUCUUUUAAGAAAUUGUGAAUUCUAAGCUGCUCUCAAGGUUUUGGAGUGAUUUCAUAGUAUUCCAAAUGUAACUUUAAAUUAGAAAGAAUCCUUUUGACUUAGAGGCUUGUCUGGGAGCCCACUGCAUAUUAACCAAACUCUGCUGAAGGUCGUAGAUUAUAAAACUGAAAGGACAAUAUGAGAAGAAUAAGGAUCAAACCAGAUCAAAAUAUUUAUAUCUUUGUAAGCAGGCACAUUCUGGGGUGCACUUUACAGUUCUGAAAAUAGUCACAAACCUUAGUUUCUUCCUGUAGGGGCUGCAACCAUACUACUGUAGUCUGAAGAGAAACCAGAGGGUGACAGGCAUUAGGAGCACUGCUGUGUGUAUCUCACAUAGGGCAACCAAGACAUUACGACUUCAUGAAGACCCUGCAGAGCACACCUGCUUCAGGUGGUUCAGGACCCAGGAAUAUCCGCUAAAUUUCUAAUAACUGGAGAUAAGAUCUGAAUAACAAUAAAUCUUCCUAAGAGAUAAUUCACACAAACUUCACAGGGAGAGGUUUGUUAGUUAUUCAAAUUUUGCUGAUAGAAAAUUUAUCCGAAGUAGAG